AUUGAACGCUGGCGGCAUGCCUUACACAUGCAAGUCGAACGGUAACAGGUCUUCGGAUGCUGACGAGUGGCGAACGGGUGAGUAAUACAUCGGAACGUGCCCGAUCGUGGGGGAUAACGAGGCGAAAGCUUUGCUAAUACCGCAUACGAUCUACGGAUGAAAGCGGGGGAUCUUCGGACCUCGCGCGGACGGAGCGGCCGAUGGCAGAUUAGGUAGUUGGUGGGAUAAAAGCUUACCAAGCCGACGAUCUGUAGCUGGUCUGAGAGGAUGAUCAGCCACACUGGGACUGAGACACGGCCCAGACUCCUACGGGAGGCAGCAGUGGGGAAUUUUGGAUAAUGGGCGAAAGCCUGAUCCAGCCAUGCCGCGUGCAGGAUGAAGGCCUUCGGGUUGUAAACUGCUUUUGUACGGAACGAAAAGCCUCUUUCUAAUAAAGAGGGGUCAUGACGGUACCGUAAGAAUAAGCACCGGCUAACUACGUG
Molecule: ribosomal RNA, 482 nt
Filed under: uncultured bacterium
Lineage: Bacteria
Description: partial 16S ribosomal RNA
Rfam family: Bacterial small subunit ribosomal RNA
Source: RNAcentral